This is a non-coding RNA of Mycena epipterygia, 91 nucleotides long. The record is from the annotation of a GenBank genome assembly. NCBI's taxonomy places the organism in Eukaryota, Fungi, Basidiomycota, Agaricomycetes, Agaricales, Mycenaceae.
GGCUUAGUAGUGUAUGGUGCACACCUGCGGUAUAUACCAUAGUGUUCAAUGAGUUUAGCAGGAGGACCCGGUUCGAUUCCGGGUUAGGCCU